AGUGAACGCUGGCGGUAGGCCUAACACAUGCAAGUCGAACGGCAGCACAGGAGAGCUUGCUCUCUGGGUGGCGAGUGGCGGACGGGUGAGGAAUACAUCGGAAUCUACUUUUUCGUGGGGGAUAACGUAGGGAAACUUACGCUAAUACCGCAUACGACCUACGGGUGAAAGCAGGGGAUCUUCGGACCUUGCGCGAUUGAAUGAGCCGAUGUCGGAUUAGCUAGUUGGCGGGGUAAAGGCCCACCAAGGCGACGAUCCGUAGCUGGUCUGAGAGGAUGAUCAGCCACACUGGAACUGAGACACGGUCCAGACUCCUACGGGAGGCAGCAGUGGGGAAUAGUGGACAAUGGGCGCAAGCCUGAUCCAGCCAUACCGCGUGGGUGAAGAAGGCCUUCGGGUUGUAAAGCCCUUUUGUUGGGAAAGAAAUCCAGCUGGUUAAUACCCGGUUGAGAUGACGGUACCCAAAGAAUAAGCACCGGCUAACUUCGUGCCAGCCGCCGCAGUAA
Molecule: ribosomal RNA, 506 nt
Filed under: uncultured bacterium
Lineage: Bacteria
Description: partial 16S ribosomal RNA
Rfam family: Bacterial small subunit ribosomal RNA
Source: RNAcentral